GAUGAAGAACGUAGCGAAAUGCGAUAAGUAAUGUGAAUUGCAGAAUUCAGUGAAUCAUCGAAUCUUUGAACGCACAUUGCGCCCCCUGGUAUUCCGGGGGGCAUGCCUGUUCGAGCGUCAUUUCACCACUCAAGCCUCGCUUGGUAUUGGGCAACGCGGUCCGCCGCGUGCCUCAAAUCGUCCGGCUGGGUCUUCUGUCCCUAAGCGUUGUGGAAACUAUUCGCUAAAGGGUGUUCGGGAGGCUACGCCGUAAAACAACCCCAUUUCUAAGGUUGACCUCGGAUCAGGUAGGGAUACCCGCUGAACUUAAGCAUAUCAAUAAGCGGAGGA
This 330-nucleotide unclassified non-coding RNA is filed under the name soil metagenome. Its description in RNAcentral is "partial contains 5.8S ribosomal RNA, internal transcribed spacer 2, and large subunit ribosomal RNA". The stretch from base 1 to 120 matches the Rfam family "5.8S ribosomal RNA", at positions 35 to 154 of the family's 154-position model. The record is from RNAcentral.